Molecule: ribosomal RNA, 1377 nt
Filed under: uncultured bacterium
Lineage: Bacteria
Description: 16S ribosomal RNA
Rfam family: Bacterial small subunit ribosomal RNA
Source: RNAcentral
AGAGUUUGAUCCUGGCUCAGGAUGAACGCUGGCGGCGUGUUUUAGGCAUGCAAGUCGAACGGUAGCCCUUUUUGGGUAAGAGUGGCAGACGGGUGAGUAACGCGUAGGAACCUACCCUAGAGUCAAGAAUAACUUCAGGAAACUGAGGCUAAUACUGGAUAGUUCUAGAGUUUAACUUUAGGCAAAGGGUGUAACUACCCGCUCUAGGAGGGGCCUGCGUCCUAUCAGCUUGUUGGUAAGGUAAUGGCUUACCAAGGCUUACGGGUAGCCGGUGUGAGAGCACGAUCGGUCACAAGGUCACUGAGACACGGGGCCUACGUCUACGGACGGCAGCAACCAAGAAUCUUGCGCAAUGGGCGAAAGCCUGACGCAGCGACGCCGCGUGAAGGAUGAAGGCCUUCGGGUUGUAAACUUCUUUUAUAUAGGAGCAUAGUGAGAGUACUAUAUGAAUAAGCACCUGCAAACUACGUGCCAGCAGCCGCGGUAAUACGUAGGGUGCAAGCGUUAUCCGGAAUUACUGGGCGUAAAGAGUUUCGUAGGCGGUUAAAAAAGUCAUUUGUUCAAGCCCGAGGCUUAACUUCGGAAAGGCAAGUGAUACUUUUUGACUAGUAUUCAGUCGGGGAUGCUGGAAUAUCUGGUGGAGGGGUGAAAUCCGUUGAGAUCAGAUAGAACACCGAGAGCGAAGGCAGGCAUCUAGGCUGCAAUAGACGCUGAUGAACGAAAGCUAGGGUAGCAAAAGGGAUUAGAGACCCCUGUAGUCCUAUGCUGUAAACGAUCCCUACUAGUUUCUCCAGCGUUACGCUGGGGGGGCGUAAGCUAACGCGUUAAGUAGGGCGCCUGGGAAGUACGACCGCAAGGUUAAAACUCAAAGGAAUUGACGGGGAGGCGCACAACCAGUGGAGCAUGUGGUUUAAUUCGAUACGAAGCGCAGGACCUUACCUGGGUUUGACAUUCCGUUGUAGUCUCCGGGAAACCGGAGAGGCCUUCGAGGAUACGGAACAGCUGCUGCAUGGUUGUCGUCAGCUCGUGUCGUGAGAUGUCCGCUUAAGUGCGGUAACGAGCGCAACCCUCGUUCUGUGUUACAUAUCACAGAAGACUGCCUCAGUCAAACUGGGGAGGAAGGAGAGGAUGACGUCAAAUCAGCACGGCGCUUAUAUCCAGGGCAACACACAUCCUACAAUGAUUGGUACAAUGGGUUGCAAAGUGGUAACAUGGAGCUAAUCUCUUAAAACCAGUCUCAGUUCAGAUUGUGGGCUGAAACUCGCCCACAUGAAGUCGGAAUUGGUAGUAAUCGCGGGUCAGCAGACCGCGGUGAAUACGUUCUCGCCUCUUGUACACACUGCCCGUCAAGCGAGGAGAGUUGGGGGUGCCCGAAGU